CGUGUUGCUAAUGUGCCUCGUCGUGCAAAAGUGUUGGCCAGAGUUGUCUUUUAUUUACUUUAUAUUUCGUAAUACAAGCCCAAUGACGUGCAGAAUGUGGGACGCUUUCCGUCCAUAAUCAUGACUGCUAGUGCUAUCGCCCGCGGCUCGAAAACGAACGUGGAAUGUUCGGGCUGCAGUACAAGACCCCGACAGUGCUCCAGACUAAGUUUUGGACCAGGAACUCACUAAGAAGGACCGAGUCGAUAAGAUUAAUUACAGUAACUGACUGACGCUGAAAUGGACAAACUACAAGAAAGCCAAAGUUCAUGAGCUGGACAUCACACAGAGACUUGAACUGUUGAAAACACUGGGCCAACUUUAGUGGUGGUUUCGAUCUCCGACAGCGUCAUAUCAAAGACUUGUCGGACUCGGAUUAGAACGGAGAAAGGCAAUGAUGAUGGGAGAGCAGACGUGCCAACCCCGUGGAAAAAGAGAUCCUAAUUAUUAUUAUCA
Lytechinus pictus (painted urchin) is the source of this 495-nucleotide long non-coding RNA. RefSeq lists it as uncharacterized. The record is from RefSeq and is a predicted model, not a curated record. The transcript is spliced from 4 exons. Lineage: Eukaryota; Metazoa; Echinodermata; Echinoidea; Temnopleuroida; Toxopneustidae.